This is a long non-coding RNA of Topomyia yanbarensis, 535 nucleotides long. RefSeq lists it as uncharacterized. The record is from RefSeq and is a predicted model, not a curated record. NCBI's taxonomy places the organism in Eukaryota, Metazoa, Arthropoda, Insecta, Diptera, Culicidae. The transcript has 3 exons.
ACUAUUUACAAAAGUUAGCAACAAAAUAGUAUACAACCCUAUUUACAUGUAUGUACAACACUUUUACAUCACUUUCGAUUCCCACGGCAAACCCCCAGGCGGGCAAGUCUACCGGCGGGCAACCUGACGUUUCUCACGUCAGUUACAAAACGUCACACCAAUGUCAUUGGAGCAUAUCGUUAUGCUCAAUGUUUAUUUAGUGAUGAAAGUGCUAAAAGUGUAAUUUCAGUUCAAUAAUCGUUGAAAUCGGCCAAAUUUUCAACGAAAAUCGAGGACAUAAACAGUGGUGGUGUUUUGCUGCCAGGAUGCAAUCUUUCUGCGAAAGAUUGACCUGCAGUGACCACCAAAUCUUCCCGGGAUCAACCAUGAAGCCAUCUUGACUUGCAAGAUGCACUACAGAUAUUGCCAAUUUUACCUAGUGAGCCAUCCACUCAUCGCAUCUCCACCGUCGGCGCUCGGAUGGAAGGCAAAACAUUCAACCCCUCCAUCGUUCCCCGGAUCGGCCAGUGCGACUAUGGAUACCCGUGGUAAAAUA